GCGGAUGUGGCGAAAUGGCAUACGCGCCAGACUUAGGAUCUGGUGGGGCAACCCGUAGGAGUUCGAGUCUCCUCAUCCGCAC
This 82-nucleotide transfer RNA is filed under the name Chlorobiota bacterium. Its description in RNAcentral is "tRNA-Leu". It matches the Rfam family "tRNA". Rfam says of the family: Transfer RNA (tRNA) molecules are approximately 80 nucleotides in length. Their secondary structure includes four short double-helical elements and three loops (D, anti-codon, and T loops). Further hydrogen bonds mediate the characteristic L-shaped molecular structure. tRNAs have two regions of fundamental functional importance: the anti-codon, which is responsible for specific mRNA codon recognition, and the 3' end, to which the tRNAs corresponding amino acid is attached (by aminoacyl-tRNA synthetases). tRNAs cope with the degeneracy of the genetic code in two manners: having more than one tRNA (with a specific anti-codon) for a particular amino acid; and 'wobble' base-pairing, i.e. permitting non-standard base-pairing at the 3rd anti-codon position. The record is from RNAcentral. Lineage: Bacteria; Pseudomonadati; Chlorobiota.